UGGGGAAUAUUGCACAAUGGGCGCAAGCCUGAUGCAGCAACGCCGCGUGAAUGAUGAAGGCCUUCGGGUCGUAAAGUUCUGUCCUAGGGGAAGAAGAAGUGACGGUACCCUGGGAGGAAGCCCCGGCUAACUACGUGCCAGCAGCCGCGGUAAUACGUAGGGGGCAAGCGUUAUCCGGAAUUACUGGGCGUAAAGGGAGCGUAGGCGGUUUGACAAGCCAGCGGUGAAAGGCAAUAGCUUAACUAUUGUAAGCCGUUGGAACUGUCUAACUUGAGUGCAGGAGAGGCAAGUGGAAUUCCUAGUGUAGCGGUGAAAUGCGUAGAUAUUAGGAGGAACACCAGUGGCGAAGGCGACUUGCUGGACUGUAACUGACGCUGAGGCUCGAAAGCGUGGGGAGCAA
This 400-nucleotide ribosomal RNA is filed under the name uncultured bacterium. Its description in RNAcentral is "bacterial SSU rRNA". It matches the Rfam family "Bacterial small subunit ribosomal RNA", at positions 355 to 771 of the family's 1533-position model. The record is from RNAcentral.